This 253-nucleotide ribosomal RNA is filed under the name uncultured bacterium. RNAcentral's name for it is "partial 16S ribosomal RNA". It matches the Rfam family "Bacterial small subunit ribosomal RNA", at positions 524 to 776 of the family's 1533-position model. The record is from RNAcentral.
UACGGGGGGAGCAAGCGUUGUUCGGAUUUACUGGGCGUAAAGGGCGCGUAGGCGGCGCAACAAGUCACUUGUGAAAUCUCCGGGCUUAACCCGGAGCGGCCAAGUGAUACUGUCGUGCUAGAGUGCGGAAGGGGCUACUUGAAUUCUCGGUGUAGCGGUGAAAUGCGUAGAUAUCGAGAGGAACACCUGCGGCGAAGGCGGGUAGCUGGGCCGACACUGACGCUGAGGCGCGAAAGCCAGGGGAGCGAACGGG